UACGGAAGGGGCAAGCGUUGUUCGGAAUCAUUGGGCGUAAAGGGCGCGUAGGUGGUUCUGUAUGUCUACCGUGAAAGCGUACGGCUCAACCGUAUUUUGUCGGUGGAAACUGCAGGACUUGAGGCUGGGAGGGGCUGGUGGAAUUCCCUGUGUAGCGGUGAAAUGCGCAGAUAUCAGGAGGAACACCAAUUGCGAAGGCAGCUCGCUGGGACGUUACUGACGCUGAGACGCGAAAGCGUGGGGAGCAAACAGG
RNAcentral lists this ribosomal RNA (253 nucleotides) under uncultured bacterium. Its description in RNAcentral is "partial 16S ribosomal RNA". It matches the Rfam family "Bacterial small subunit ribosomal RNA", at positions 524 to 776 of the family's 1533-position model. The record is from RNAcentral.